Molecule: ribosomal RNA, 1490 nt
Filed under: metagenome
Description: bacterial SSU rRNA
Rfam family: Bacterial small subunit ribosomal RNA
Source: RNAcentral
AGAGUUUGAUCCUGGCUCAGGACGAACGCUGGCGGCGUGCCUAACACAUGCAAGUCGAACGAUAAGUUUCUAACUGAAAUCUUCGGAUUGAUGACUGAAACGGAAAGUGGCGAACGGGUGAGUAACGCGUGAGUAACCUACCUCUUGCUGGGGGAUAACACCGGGAAACUGGUGCUAAUACCGCAUAAUGUCAUAGUAUCACAUGAUACAAUGACCAAAGCUCCGGCGGCAAGAGAUGGACUCGCGUCCAAUUAGCUAGUUGGUGAGGUAAUGGCUCACCAAGGCGACGAUUGGUAGCCGAGCUGAGAGGCUGAACGCCACAUUGGGACUGAGACACGGCCCAGACUCCUACGGGAGGCAGCAGUGGGGAAUAUUGCACAAUGGGGGAAACCCUGAUGCAGCGACGCCGCGUGAAGGAAGAAGGCCUUCGGGUUGUAAACUUCUUUGAUUGGGGAAGAAUAAAAUGACGGUACCCAAAAAACAAGCCACGGCUAACUACGUGCCAGCAGCCGCGGUAAUACGUAGGUGGCAAGCGUUGUCCGGAAUUACUGGGUGUAAAGGGCGUGUAGGCGGGUACGCAAGUCAGAUGUGAAAUUCCACGGCUCAACCGUGGGCGUGCAUCUGAAACUGUGUAUCUUGAGUGCUGGAGAGGAAAGCGGAAUUCCUAGUGUAGCGGUGAAAUGCGUAGAUAUUAGGAGGAACACCAGUGGCGAAGGCGGCUUUCUGACGGUAACUGACGCUGAGGCGCGAAAGCGUGGGGAGCAAGCAGGAUUAGAUACCCUGGUAGUCCACGCUGUAAACGAUGGAUACUAGGUGUAGGAGGUAUCGACUCCUCCUGUGCCGGAGUUAGCACAAUAAGUAUCCCACCUGGGGAGUACGACCGCAAGGUUGAAACUCAAAGGAAUUGACGGGGGCCCGCACAAGCAGUGGAGUAUGUGGUUUAAUUCGACGCAACGCGAAGAACCUUACCAGAACUUGACAUCCUCUGACCGCUCUAGAAAUAGAGUUUCCCUUCGGGGCAGAGUGACAGGUGGUGCAUGGUUGUCGUCAGCUCGUGUCGUGAGAUGUUGGGUUAAGUCCCGCAACGAGCGCAACCCUUAUUGCUAGUUGCCAUCAUUAAGUUGGGCACUCUAGCGAGACUGCCGGUGAUAAAUCGGAGGAAGGUGGGGAUGACGUCAAAUCAUCAUGCCCCUUAUGUUCUGGGCUACACACGUACUACAAUGGUUACUACAAUGGGCAGCAAUACCGCGAGGUGGAGCGAAUCCCAAAAAGUAGCCUCAGUUCGGAUUGCAGGCUGAAACUCGCCUGCAUGAAGUCGGAAUUGCUAGUAAUUGCAGGUCAGCAUACUGCAGUGAAUACGUUCCCGGGCCUUGUACACACCGCCCGUCACACCAUGAGAGUUUGCAACACCCGAAGCCUGUGAGCUAAUCAUUUAUGAGGGCAGCAGUCGAAGGUGGGGCAGAUGAUUGGGGUGAAGUCGUAACAAGGUA